Molecule: unclassified non-coding RNA, 314 nt
Filed under: plant metagenome
Description: partial contains 5.8S ribosomal RNA, internal transcribed spacer 2, and large subunit ribosomal RNA
Rfam family: 5.8S ribosomal RNA (bases 1-105)
Source: RNAcentral
GAAAUGCGAUAAUUAAUGUGAAUUGCAGAAUUCAGUGAAUCAUCGAGUCUUUGAACGCACAUUGCGCCCCCUGGUAUUCCGGGGGGCAUGCCUGUCCGAGCGUCAUUGCUGCCAUCAAGCACGGCUUGUGUGUUGGGCUUCCGUCCCUGGCAACGGGGACGGGCCCAAAAGGCAGUGGCGGCACCAUGUCUGGUCCUCGAGCGUAUGGGGCUUUGUCACCCGCUCCCGUAGGUCCAGCUGGCAGCUAGCCUCGCAACCAAUCUUUUUAACCAGGUUGACCUCGGAUCAGGUAGGGAUACCCGCUGAACUUAAGC